CAAAUUACAUAGCCUUUAAAAAUUUUAAGGGUGCGACGAAGAAGUAGAUUGACAUUGUCUUCGUCCGGCUUCCUUUGACUUUUGAAUAUAGAUUACAAUUGAGUAAGCCAAUCGAAGCAACAAUUCUAUCUUCCAGUAACAUAUGAAACGUACUUAACAUGUAAUUUCACAUUUGACGAGAAUGCAAGACACGAGCUGUAUUGCUGCGGGGCAGUAUCACGAGUAACAAAUUAGGUUUGUGUUUGUGGUUAAAUGAAAAAGAGCUUACGAUCCGCGUUUAUCACGUUUAUGGCAGUUAGAUCACCUUAAGUUUGUUCUGCGUGCCUAGUACAACUUGCCGAUGAAACAUUCAAUGGCUCUUGACGUCAUUUAUCCUCUACACAACUAUAUUAGUGAUCAAUCAAAGUGAUUUAAAGUUAUUCAUCGGAAUAACUAAUGGAACCGUUUAGUAUAAGUAAAAAUAAUUGAUUUGUGGGCCUUACAAGUUGAGUUAUUGUUGUCUCUUUGUUACAAUAGAUAACUUCCUUAUUUAGUAAAAAUUGAUUGUUGUGUCAUUUCUAAACUAUUCCUAAGAAGAAUUAUUCGGCACAAUGUAUUGUACAAAAGCAUAAUUGAGAGAAAAUUGUAAUUUUAAAGUUUAAAAAUGCUGCAACCGUGUUGAUGUGAUUAAUAUUUUAUUGUAAGAUGUUCUUUUCUUUAGGUUUCUAUCUCUUUAUAUCGAGUGACGAUGUGUAAGUGAGAAUUCUGUAUUUAGAAACUAACUAGUAACAUUGUUAAACCCUCGUUAUAAAUAUGAUCUAUAUUCAAUAAAGUAAUCGGCACUCGUCAGCUAACGAAAGAG
Long non-coding RNA from Diprion similis, 841 nucleotides. RefSeq lists it as uncharacterized. The record is from RefSeq and is a predicted model, not a curated record. NCBI's taxonomy places the organism in Eukaryota, Metazoa, Arthropoda, Insecta, Hymenoptera, Diprionidae. The transcript has 3 exons.